UACCAUCAACCAUCACCGUCACGUCACUGCAAAGAUUAGAUCUUUCCGGAAGAAGAGAAGAAUGAGGCCGAUGCAGCUUGACAUGUUAUCGGAGAUGGAUGAUGCAGGUUCUUCAAUGGCCAUGGACGUUGAUGAUCUCGAAGCUAUGGAGAUUUUUAGCGAAGGAGGAGGUGCUUCAGAGAGUAAGCUCGCCGACGCUGAUUUCUUCAACAAAUUCGAGGAUGAUUUCGACGAUGCCGAUAUCAACUGAUUCCGGUUAAAAUUUCUUCUCUAUGAUUUCAAUUUUCUUCGGAAAUCGAUUAAAAGCAGUGUAUAAUUCCCCUGUCCAAGCUCUGUUGUUGCUUUGUGUCAUGUCCAAGCUCCCCUGUCCAAGCUCUGUCCCCGGUCUUUUGUAGAUGGAAAUAGUGUGAUCGUUGUUCACCUAUCGUAGAAGUGAAAAGGCGGCUAAGCAUAAAGAUGUCAGUCUCGAGCAGUUGUUUGUUGCUAACGUUGCGAUCUUAUGUAUGUGAUGUAGCCAAAGUUCACGAGGUUCUUAAGUAAUCGUAGUAUAUCGGAACACUCAAGUUUUUUGUAUCUUCUUAGUGUGCAUAACAAGAUGAGUGGUGUGGUUGACACAAAUGAGCGUGACCUCUCUUAAGAAGAUUUACGAUUGAUC
RNA transcript from Arabidopsis lyrata subsp. lyrata, 655 nucleotides. It is a transcript of the gene named small acidic protein 1, with no coding region annotated. The record is from RefSeq and is a predicted model, not a curated record. Lineage: Eukaryota; Viridiplantae; Streptophyta; Magnoliopsida; Brassicales; Brassicaceae. The transcript has 2 exons.